Molecule: ribosomal RNA, 494 nt
Filed under: uncultured bacterium
Lineage: Bacteria
Description: partial 16S ribosomal RNA
Rfam family: Bacterial small subunit ribosomal RNA
Source: RNAcentral
GAACGCUGGCGGCGUGCCUAAUACCUGCAAGUCGAGCGAACAGACGAGGAGCUUGCUCCUCUGACGUUAGCGGCGGACGGGUGAGUAACACGUGGAUAACCUACCUAUAAGACUGGGAUAACUUCGGGAAACCGGAGCUAAUACCGGAUAAUAUAUUGAACCGCAUGGUUCAAUAGUGAAAGACGGUUUUGCUUUCACUUAUAGAUGGAUCCGCGCCGCAUUAGCUAGUUGGUAAGGUAACGGCUUACCAAGGCGACGAUGCGUAGCCGACCUGAGAGGGUGAUCAGCCACACUGGAACUGAGACACGGUCCAGACUCCUACGGGAGGCAGCAGUAGGGAAUCUUCCGCAAAGGGCGAAAGCCUGACGGAGCAACGCCGCGUGAGUGAUGAAGGUCUUCGGAUCGUAAAACUCUGUUAUUAGGGAAGAACAAAUGUGUAAGUAACUAUGCACGUCUUGACGGUACCUAAUCAGAAAGCCACGGCUAACUACGUG